UGAAACCUUGUGUCGCUAGCCAUUUCCUCUAGGAGAGCUCCCCAAACUUGGUAACUGAUGAUUGGGGGUAUAAAUCUUUUACAUUGCCAGUUUUGCCAACUAUUUAGGUGGGUGGUCUUUAAAUUGUACAAUGUGUGAAAUGCCGUGGUUAUGCUUUUGGUUCUGUCUGAUCUAUACUGAAAGUACUUUUGGAGUGAUAUAGUCAGAGGAGAUUCAUGAUUUUUCUCUGCCGGAACAUACAAAAUUCAAUGGCCUGUUGAGCCAUGAACACAAGCUUCUAAUAUGCACAGUUUCUCUAGGUAUUAAGUUCCAUUUUCUUGCCUUAUUGUAAUUAGACCUUCCUCGUUGUUUGUCUCUGCCUCCUAAGCUUAUAUUGCUCUUUUUUUAUGUAUAUAUAUGUUUGUUGUUGUUGAGGAAGGUUUUGUGGGGAAAUUAUAUGCUAGCUUGUAAGUGAGCACAACAUCUGCUUAAAUGCACCUGUAGUUUGAUCAACUUGAAUCUGUAAAUUUAUCAAGAAAGAAUGCAUUUUCAGUUGGCUGUGUUGAAUGCACAGGUUUUAUCUAGCUACCACAUAAAAGUCCUCUGCUAACCCUACCAUAUCUUGAACUGCAUCCUGCUAGAGUUCAUAGUCUAUGAGACUCUUGGAGCUGCAGGGCGGAAAUGUAGAUGCUUAUUGUGAACUAACAGUCCCUUCUCAAUUGCAUGUGCUGGGUUCUGUGUAUACAUAUGCUACCAGUCAGGGCUUAAGUGGAUAAAGUAGCUUCAUAGAAAGGAGUUAGACAUCCAUAUUUUAGCGGAUAUUUUUCUCUUGUUGUACAUUGUUCAAUUGAACUUUCUUGAACUAGUUUACGAUGUUGUUAGCCCAGAAACCUACCAGUUAAAAAGCAUGAUAGAUCCAUCAAUUGGACAUGCUAAAUACAACACUUUUGGUCCUUUCCUAUGUUGAAAUUCGGUUAAUGAGUUUCCAUUAUUCUUAUCUGUUCAGGAUGAACAAGAUAAGUUGCGAAGCCCCCCUUAAAACACGGGCGCUGAGUUGGUUUUUUAACUUCAUCACCAUAGCGUUCAAAGUGAUCUUGAUGACAUGAUAUGUAUUCUAUCCUCCACAUAUCCAUGCACAACCGAGCAAGAACAGCCAAUGGUCGAAAUGGCAGCGCUAAUUCUGGACAGAGAAGCGCCGCAUGUUUUUAUCAUGUUUUCUAAGGGAAUGCCUCUUUUUUUUCUGCUAAUACCUGUGCAAAUUAAGGGCCUCCCUGUAUCAUGCGCGUGCUAUUCACGGCGCAGAGAUGGAGAUGCUGUGGUAAUAUGUGGUGGUCGGCAAGGAGAAACAGGCGUACUGCAAGCAGCUGCAGGAUCUUCCAGCAGAUUAAUCUGUAGGCAAAUAAUUCCCAUGGCCAAAGGGGCCAAGCCUCCUGUUGCUCCUCCAUCCAUCAUUUGGUGAGCAAUUUCUCCUGUUGAACAACAGGGUUACCUCACACGUUCACCGUUGUCAUUCAGCACAGCUUUUUCUUGA
Long non-coding RNA from Triticum aestivum (bread wheat), 1510 nucleotides. RefSeq lists it as uncharacterized. Lineage: Eukaryota; Viridiplantae; Streptophyta; Magnoliopsida; Poales; Poaceae. The transcript is spliced from 3 exons. The record is from RefSeq and is a predicted model, not a curated record.